GACGAACGCUGGCGGCGUGCCUAAUACAUGCAAGUAGAGCGAAGCGGCGGAUGGGUGAGUAACGCGUGGGUAACCUGCACUUAAGUCUGGGAUACCCUUAGGAACCAGAUGCUAAUACCGGAUACUAAAGGAUGGACCUGCGAUGCAUUAGCUAGUUGGUAAGGUAACGGCUUACCAAGGCGAUGAUGCAGAGCCGAGUUGAGAGACUGAUCGGCCACAUUGGGACUUAGACACGGCCCAAACUCCUACGGGGGGCAGCAGUAGGGAAUCUUCCACAAUGGACGAAAUUCUGAUGGGGCAACGCCGCGGGAGGGAAGAAGGUUUUCGGAUCGUAAAGCUCUGUUGUUGGUGAAGCGGUAAUCAACCAGAAAGUCACGGCUAACUACGUGCCAGCAGCCGCGGUAAUAC
This 408-nucleotide ribosomal RNA is filed under the name uncultured bacterium. RNAcentral describes it as "partial 16S ribosomal RNA". It matches the Rfam family "Bacterial small subunit ribosomal RNA", at positions 28 to 526 of the family's 1533-position model. The record is from RNAcentral.